This 427-nucleotide ribosomal RNA is filed under the name uncultured bacterium. RNAcentral's name for it is "partial 16S ribosomal RNA". It matches the Rfam family "Bacterial small subunit ribosomal RNA", at positions 355 to 774 of the family's 1533-position model. The record is from RNAcentral.
UGGGGAAUAUUGCACAAUGGGCGCAAGCCUGAUGCAGCCAUGCCACGUGUAUGAAGAAGGCCUUCGGGUUGUAAAGUACUUUCAGCGGGGAGGAAGGCGAUAAGGUUAAUAACCUUGUCGAUUGACGUUACCCGCAGAAGAAGCACCGGCUAACUCCGUGCCAGCAGCCGCGGUAAUACGGAGGGUGCAAGCGUUAAUCGGAAUUACUGGGCGUAAAGCGCACGCAGGCGGUUUGUCAAGUCGGAUGUGAAAUCCCCGGGCUCAACCUGGGAACUGCAUUCGAAACUGGCAGGCUAGAGUCUUGUAGAGGGGGGUAGAAUUCCAGGUGUAGCGGUGAAAUGCGUAGAGAUCUGGAGGAAUACCGGUGGCGAAGGCGGCCCCCUGGACAAAGACUGACGCUCAGGUGCGAAAGCGUGGGGAGCAAACA